CCAUGAAGUCGGAAUCGCUAGUAAUCGUAGAUCAGAAUGCUACGGUGAAUACGUUCCCGGGCCUUGUACACACCGCCCGUCACACCAUGGGAGUGGGUUGCAAAAGAAGUAGGUAGCUUAACCUUCGGGAGGGCGCUUACCACUUUGUGAUUCAUGACUGGGGUGAAGUCGUAACAAGGUAACCGUAGGGGAACCUGCGGUUGGAUCACCUCCUUACCUAAGAGA
Molecule: ribosomal RNA, 225 nt
Filed under: Proteus mirabilis
Lineage: Bacteria; Pseudomonadati; Pseudomonadota; Gammaproteobacteria; Enterobacterales; Morganellaceae
Description: partial 16S ribosomal RNA
Rfam family: Bacterial small subunit ribosomal RNA
Source: RNAcentral